CCUUACCCCGUAAACACCAUCCAUCCAACAACAACAUCCCUGGGCCGAUCUGCAAAUCUCCUUCUCAAACGACGCAGCCGAGAAAGAAAGAAAAAAAAGAAACACAGCGCAAGGAGGGAGGAGCUUACGACGAAAGAGGAGAAGACAAGCGGAGAGUAUAAAAAUGGUGAAGGUGUUGACAUACUUUGGGAUGACAUUGGCUGCUUUCGCCUUCUGGCAAUCCAUGGACAAAGUUCACGUCUGGAUCGCUCUUCAUCAAGACGAGAAGCAAGAAAGAAUGGAGAAAGAAGCGGAGGUAAAGCGGGUUAGAGCAGAGCUGCUGCGGAAAGCUAGAGAGGAGGAUCCUCUUGCCUGAUCAUCAUCUUCUUCUUCUUCAGUCAUGUUUUUUUAUUUCUAUAAUCAAAAUUCACUUCUCUCAUGACACUAUUUUUUCACCGUUAUGGACCAAAAUGGAGUUUGCAUAAAACGACAGUACCAUAUAUGCUGUUGAAUGUGGGAUGAUCAUGAAUAAUAACUUCCUCUUUGUUGUUCUUCUCAA
Molecule: long non-coding RNA, 538 nt
Organism: Brassica oleracea var. oleracea
Lineage: Eukaryota; Viridiplantae; Streptophyta; Magnoliopsida; Brassicales; Brassicaceae
Exons: 2
Source: RefSeq, a predicted model, not a curated record